AGAGUUUGAUCCUGGCCCAUAACGAACGUUGGCGGCGUGGAUUAGGCAUGCAAGUCGAACGAGAACGUCACCUUCGGGUGGCGAGUAAAGUGGCGAACGGGUGAGUAACGCGUGGGAAACCUGCCCUCGAGUUGGGGAUAACACUCCCAACGGAGUGCUAAUACCGAAUAAGACCACGGAGUCGCAUGACUCAGCGGUCAAAAGUGGCCUCUACAUGUAAGCUACUGCUUGAGGAUGGUCCCGCGUCCCAUUAGCUUGUUGGUGAGGUAAGAGCUCACCAAGGCUACGAUGGGUAGCUGGUCUGAGAGGAUGGUCAGCCACACUGGGACUGAGAUACGGCCCAGACUCCUACGGGAGGCAGCAGUCGAGAGGCUUCGGCAAUGGGGGAAACCCUGACCGAGCGACGCCGCGUGGGCGAUGAAGGCCGUAAGGUUGUAAAGCCCUGUCAAGAGGGGCGAAAUGCAGGUGUUCGAACAGGGCAUCUGUUUGACGGUACCUCUAAAGGAUCUCCGGCUAACUCCGUGCCAGCAGCCGCGGUAAUACGGGGGGAGCGAACGUUGUUCGGAAUUACUGGGCGUAAAUGGCGCGCAGGCGGCUUGGUCAGUGGAAUGUGAAAUGCCCUGGCUCAACCAGGGAACGGCAUUCCAUACUGCCUAGCUUGAGUACAGGAGAGGAUGGGGGAAUUCCCGGUGUAGCGGUGGAAUGCAUUGAUAUCGGGAGGAACACCAGUGGCGAAGGCGCCCAUCUGGCCUGAUACUGACGCUCAGGCGCGAAAGCUAGGGGAGCAAACAGGAUUAGAUACCCUGGUAGUCCUAGCCGUAAACGGUGAGCACUAGGUGUAGGAGGCAUCGACCCCUCCUGUGCCGCAGCUAACGCAUUAAGUGCUCCGCCUGGGUAGUACGACCGCAAGGUUGAAACUCAAAGGAAUUGACGGGGCCCCGCACAAGCGGUGGAGCAUGUGGUUUAAUUCGAUACAACGCGAAGAACCUUACCCAGGUUUGACAUGCACCGGAUCGGUGUGGAAACACACUUUCCCUUCGGGGUCGGUGCACAGGUGCUGCAUGGCUGUCGUCAGCUCGUGUCGUGAGAUGUUGGGUUAAGUCCCGCAACGAGCGCAACCCUUGUCCUUAGUUGCCAGCAAGUGAAGUUGGGCACUCUAAGGAGACUGCCGUCGAUAAGACGGAGGAAGGUGGGGAUGACGUCAAGUCCUCAUGGUCCUUACACCUGGGGCUACACACGUGCUACAAUGGCCGGUACAGAGGGUUGCAAUGCCGCGAGGUGGAGCUAAUCCCAAAAAGCCGGUCUCAGUUCGGAUUGUAGUCUGCAACUCGACUACAUGAAGGCGGAAUCGCUAGUAAUCGCUGAUCAGCAGGCAGCGGUGAAUAUGUUCCCGGGGCUUGUACACACCGCCCGUCAAGCCACGAAAGUCGGCAGUACCCGAAGUCGCUAUCCUAACCG
This 1458-nucleotide ribosomal RNA is filed under the name metagenome. RNAcentral describes it as "bacterial SSU rRNA". It matches the Rfam family "Bacterial small subunit ribosomal RNA". The record is from RNAcentral.